CGGACGGGUGAGUAAUGUCUGGGAAACUGCCUGAUGGAGGGGGAUAACUACUGGAAACGGUAGCUAAUACCGCAUAACGUCGCAAGACCAAAGAGGGGGACCUUCGGGCCUCGCGCCAUCAGAUGAACCCAUAUGGGAUUAGCUUGUAGGUAAGGUAACGGCUUACCUAGGCGACGAUCCCUAGCUGGUCUGAGAGGAUGAUCAGCCACACUGGGACUGAGACACGGCCCAG
RNAcentral lists this ribosomal RNA (232 nucleotides) under uncultured bacterium. RNAcentral describes it as "partial 16S ribosomal RNA". It matches the Rfam family "Bacterial small subunit ribosomal RNA", at positions 99 to 334 of the family's 1533-position model. The record is from RNAcentral.